CCUCCUUAAAAUAAAACGUUUUUUUGUAGGCGUUCACACGAAUUACUUAUUUCUUUUUAUCUUUUUUAGAUAAAGAAGAGUUCUUUAACAUUUUUAUAAGUUCAAUCAAGUCAUAUCAUGAAUAUUUAUAUUCAUCGGUAUGCAAAUUAACUAUUCUUCAGAUCUUCAUAUUUAUAUGGAUAUUUGUUGAAUAAAACUAUUCUUCAGAUCUUCAUAUUUAUAUGAAUAUUUGUUGAAUAACUGCAAAGUAAUUUGGCGUUUUUGUGUUUUUUAAAACACAAUUUUGUGUCUUUUAGACACAAUAAGUAGAUAGAAAUGCUUGGUGUAUAUCAUUAAGUUAAUUGAUGUAAUAUGGUCAAGUAGUGAAGUGCAAACGGUGGAUGCCUUGGCAGCUAGAGGCGAUGAAGGACGUAGUAACUUGCGAUAAGCUUCGGGGAGUCGGUAACAGACUUUGAUCCGGAGAUUCCGAAUGGGGAAACCAAGGGCGAAUA
Molecule: unclassified non-coding RNA, 491 nt
Filed under: uncultured marine bacterium 311
Lineage: Bacteria
Description: partial 16S-23S ribosomal RNA intergenic spacer
Rfam family: Bacterial large subunit ribosomal RNA (bases 354-491)
Source: RNAcentral